This 1094-nucleotide ribosomal RNA is filed under the name uncultured Enterobacter sp. RNAcentral's name for it is "bacterial SSU rRNA". It matches the Rfam family "Bacterial small subunit ribosomal RNA", at positions 434 to 1531 of the family's 1533-position model. The record is from RNAcentral. Lineage: Bacteria; Pseudomonadati; Pseudomonadota; Gammaproteobacteria; Enterobacterales; Enterobacteriaceae.
GGUGGAUUGAAGCGGAUACAAUUCACACAGAACAGCUAUGACAUGAUACGAUCGAGCUCGUACCCGGGAUCUCUAGAGAUGUGCAGCAGCCGCGUAUACGGAGGGUGCAAGCGUAUCGAUUACUGGCGUAAAGCGCACGCAGCGGUCUGUCAGUCGGAUGUGAAAUCCCCGGGCUAACCUGGGAACUGCAUUCGAAACUGGCAGGCUAGAGUCUGUAGAGGGGGGUAGAAUUCCAGGUGUAGCGGUGAAAUGCGUAGAGAUCUGGAGGAAUACCGGUGGCGAAGGCGGCCCCCUGGACAAAGACUGACGCUCAGGUGCGAAAGCGUGGGGAGCAAACAGGAUUAGAUACCCUGGUAGUCCACGCCGUAAACGAUGUCGACUUGGAGGUUGUGCCCUUGAGGCGUGGCUUCCGGAGCUAACGCGUUAAGUCGACCGCCUGGGGAGUACGGCCGCAAGGUUAAAACUCAAAUGAAUUGACGGGGGCCCGCACAAGCGGUGGAGCAUGUGGUUUAAUUCGAUGCAACGCGAAGAACCUUACCUACUCUUGACAUCCAGCGAAUUCGGUAGAGAUACCUUAGUGCCUUCGGGAACGCUGAGACAGGUGCUGCAUGGCUGUCGUCAGCUCGUGUUGUGAAAUGUUGGGUUAAGUCCCGCAACGAGCGCAACCCUUAUCCUUUGUUGCCAGCGGUCCGGCCGGGAACUCAAAGGAGACUGCCAGUGAUAAACUGGAGGAAGGUGGGGAUGACGUCAAGUCAUCAUGGCCCUUACGAGUAGGGCUACACACGUGCUACAAUGGCGCAUACAAAGAGAAGCGACCUCGCGAGAGCAAGCGGACCUCAUAAAGUGCGUCGUAGUCCGGAUUGGAGUCUGCAACUCGACUCCAUGAAGUCGGAAUCGCUAGUAAUCGUAGAUCAGAAUGCUACGGUGAAUACGUUCCCGGGCCUUGUACACACCGCCCGUCACACCAUGGGAGUGGGUUGCAAAAGAAGUAGGUAGCUUAACCUUCGGGAGGGCGCUUACCACUUUGUGAUUCAUGACUGGGGUGAAGUCGUAACAAGGUAACCGUAGGGGAACCUGCGGCUGGAUCACCUCCU